GACGACCAUUGGAAUGUCUGUGCGUAGAAGUGCUUUGCAGAUCGAUUGAGUGUGGGAAGGAAGCUAGCCGGGCGUAGUUUCUGGAGAAGAUCUGGAAUCUGACAGUAGUGGCGAGGCAUUAGCUAUUUUGGAUGCUCCAUUCCAACAGGCUGGAAUUUCGAGUGGUAGCAGUUUGCAGGGCAUAAUAGUCGCAGGAGAAGCGCCCGAGUCGGACGAGGAACGCGCGGAACCUGGUACUGUGAGCAGCAUCAGUAGUGCAGCCAGUAUUUCUUCAGAAUCUUCGCUGACAGCAGAUGUGAAGGAAGGAUAUAAGGGAAAGGAAUCAGAAAGCAAAUAUAGCUGAUUGCUGCAUAAAAAAUUGUAUUAAUAAAUUCAGAUGUGGUCGGACAAGCACUGAAGACGAAGCGUGCUCCAUCUGUCCAGUUGUGGUCACUACAAAGGAAAUCGACAAAAUCCGUGGUAGGGUAAUGCAAGACCAGAAGCUGUGUGCAAGGUGAAUAGCUUGUUUGGAGUCAUUAACCACAAGUGACCAUGAGCUCUUCUGCAACAAUCACUGGCCAUGCCAACGUGGAUGCAGUUACAUCCCCACUGCACAAUAUGCUGCCCCAUGAUGUAUCAGCACUCCCAGAUGCUUAAAUUCUCUGGAGAGCUUGUAUUGUUAGUGCUGCUGGAAAUGAAAACUCAUAUCAUGUUUCACAGAAUCUAAAUUAAAAUCAUAUUUCCUAAUAUGUUCAGUGAUGAGAAUUUUCCUAUAAAAUUAUGCAUCAGUGUAAAUGUAACACAGCACUCAGCAACAGCUGUUCCAAUGCUGUAGCACUCAGUAUAACUUUGGCUGGCAGCACUAAAAUAUAAAACACCAACAGCCCAGUGUCUGCUGAAAUCUACAGAUUCAGGUAGUCAAGGUAGGAAAAAUGUUACACACUAUAAAAUACUUAAAUAGCUUGAAGCUAGCACACAUCUUGGUUUGUUUGCAUGCAAAUCUUCAUAUCAUUAACUCAUCAUGUGGAAGGUUGGUCAACACUUUCUCAAAUCCUCUUGUUCUGCCAUGAUUCUUGCAUCGUGUCCAUUCAAGUAGCAUCUACAGGAUCAGUUCUUAUUUGCUUUACUCUAGUGCACACUGACAAUGUCAACUGCUAAAGAGCAUAUAUGCAAAAAGUUGAACCUUGUUAUAACUGAAAAUCUUCAAAUACAUACAGGCUGUGGCGUUGAAGGAAAGAUCUGUCAGUGCUUUCUAGUGAUUGUUCGUAACUAAAUGAAGUGCUCAUAACAUGCGAAAUGUAUAAAAUAUAUCAUUGCAAACAAACUUCAAGUUAUUAUUUUGUGACCUUUAACAAAACAAAUAUUUCAUAAAAUAUGAAGAGCUAUAUUUAAUUAAAGUCACAAUUUUUGAAUGAUGUACAGAUUUUGUUCAGUCAGUCAGUUUCUUGGCUUUUGUCGUAGCAUCAUAUAACAGUUAAGAGAUUUUUAAUAGCACAAAAAUGUGCUUUGUAAUGCUACAUAAAUUAAUUGGAAAGAGAAUACUGCUAAUCACUAACCAACUAGAAAACUGGUGUUGCUAUUAAAAGGGUUACAUGAUAAAAUCACAUCAACUUUGAUCCCUCUCCCAUUUUCUAUAAAGCAGAAAAUUAAUUUGACAUUGCAACCACCUGCUCAGUACAACAUUGGUGUCCACCUUAGGAAUGCUUUGCGAAAAUAAUUGUGCUGACAUGAACUCCACAAGUGCUUGAUAUAGGUUUCUGGAUGUAUGUGACACCAGAUGUUUUAUCACAGGUAAUGCAAUUAUUAUCAAUUAUGGGCCAGUCGUUAGUGACCAAGGAGCGAGUGCAUGAUAGUGUAGCAUGUGUGUUCCGUGCAGUUCAGAUCAGUCGAAUUUGGUGGUUAAGGACAUCAACAUGAAUUCGCUAUUGUGCUCCUCAAAGUACUGUAACAUUCGACAUAAGUUUUCUGGGUAUGGUACCAUGUCAUAAUGUAUAAAACUACUGCUGCUGGAGAAAAACCAACAUUUCGGCCACGGUUGCAGCGGCCUCCUUCCGGGUAUACUGGUGCACAUAUAGGCCCAGAAGAAGGCUGCUGCAACUGUGGCUGAAACGUUGGUUUGUCUCCAGCAGCAGUUGUUUUAUACAUUAUGACACGGUACCAUACCCAGAAAACUUAUGUCAACUGACUCAGGCUGCGGAAGCCUACACAAUUAUAUUACUGUAGCAUUGUUCUGUCUUGUAACGUGGACAGUUAUCGUGUGCUGGUAGAUGUGAUUGCUGUCAGGCCAGACACCAAUUCUGAAGGGAUGCAAGUAGUCUGCAACAAUGUUCAAGAGGUCCACAGCCACCAUGGUAUCUUCGAUUACUAGCACACUUCCCUUUAAAGCUGAGCCAAAUGUGCACCACAGCAUAAUACUGCCCCCCACCAGCUUGUGUCCAUGCAGUGUGUGUUUCGAGCAGCUGGUUACCUAGAUACCAAUAUUUCUGAAAGUGGCCAUCUACAUGGUGUAACAAGAAAUGUGAUUUCUCUGGCUAUGUGACAUGUUUCUGUUGGUCCAUUUUAAACCUCCAUGACCUAGUGCCCACUGCAGUCGUAAUUGACUAUUUCAUUGGGUCAGCAUGGCAACAUGUAAAGGUUGUCUGCUGUGGAGACCCAUGAUCAACAAUGUGCUGUGAUUGGUGAGUUCGGAAACACUUGUCUGCAGCAGCAGCAGCAGUAUUGUACUCUGUUGUCAUCUGUUGCCAGAUAUGCCACCUGUCAUGCUGUUAAGAUUGUGUGUUGAGUUAUGAUGUGUUUAUGUGGUACAACUUCUCAGCUACUUGUGAUUUCACUGUCCUUAGACUUGUUCACAGAUGCUCAGAAAAGUAGCAUGCAGACAGCCUUUCAGCUUCGUUAUUUUCUAAAUGCUCAUUCCCAGGCACCAGGUGAGAACUGGACUACUCCAGUUGGGACUGUAUGUGUACAUGUGGUUUUAAUGUUUUUACUUAUAUUUACUGUACUGAAGAUGGCCACACAGUGACUGAAAUCUGAAUUUGCAAUAAAUGUUGUU
Schistocerca serialis cubense is the source of this 3028-nucleotide long non-coding RNA. RefSeq lists it as uncharacterized. The transcript is spliced from 5 exons. Lineage: Eukaryota; Metazoa; Arthropoda; Insecta; Orthoptera; Acrididae. The record is from RefSeq and is a predicted model, not a curated record.